UAUUGCAUUAUAUGAUAGUCUCACUGGUAACAACUGUGAGCAAGGUACCUUGCACAUCAACCAAGGUACAUCAAAGUGUGUACUAAUAUAUACAUACAUUCCUCCUCCUCUUAGUCCCUAGCUGCAAAAGGAAAGUAGUAACAAAGGCUUGAACAGGCCACUCGGGGCUGAGCCUUUGAUCCCUCUUUCAAUAACAGAAAGAGAUUUGCAAGAAUGGUCACUGCAAGAGGCCCCCUUCUCCUUCAGUCUCCUCAACUUGGAAUUGAAAGGAAGCACUGCAUAGCCAGAAGAAUGCAUCACAGCAAGAGAACAUUCAUGCUUCCAGGCUCAGUAUGGUAGGAGACUAAGUGGAAAGCAAGCUUCCCCCAAAUCACUUGUUCAUUCGUUCAGCAAAUAUUUGUUACCAUUAUUAUUUGCCCAGUGCGGGCAUAGACUCCGGGGAAAUACAGAUGAAUAAAUCUCCAUCUCUGCACUCCUGGAUUUCACAGUGUAAUAGGAGCAACAUGCAGGUAAAAAUGUAAUUGCAAAUCCAGGUGAUGCAUACUAUGAUAGAAAUACAACGUACAUGUCAGUGGGAGAGGGAGUGACAACAAGGUCAGAAUGGAGGAACUCCCCAGCUCUGCUUUAGGAGAUAAGUCACCCAGGAGGGAAUCAGAAGAAGGAAACCCAAGCAAGGAUUUGAAGAGAUUUUCUUAGUAGGUUAGGAAAGGGAAAUGUGAGGGUAUGCAUUCCUAGAAGAAGAAAUAAGGGCAGAGGAACUGAUACUAGAAACAAAACGGCACGCUCGUUUGGCUAAAUGGUGGGGCAGGGCCAGCUUAUAUGACACCUUAUAGACCACAUUAAUAAGUUUGGGUUUUCUCCGGUUGACCAAUGAUUCAUAAAUUUUACUGUGCCUACACUAGUAUGCUGAUUCCCAGGAACCAUUCCAUGAGAGUCUGAGGCCCAGAAAUCUGCCUUUGCAUAAGUAGCUAGGUGAUUUCUGAUAGCAAGUGGUAUAUAGACCACACUUUGAGAAAUACUGCUAUUGAUAAAACCAAUGAAAAUAACAGCACCUUCCCUCCAAAGCAGUUUAUAUUCAGUUCUAUUUCAUUUUUUUAGUGCCGGCCCAGUCUCAAUUGAGUGGCUUUAGAUUUUUUCCUUCCUGGGGAAGUCACUGCACUCCUUAAUUAAUGUUUAUGUUUUGAAGACUUGAUUGCCAGAACUAACUGAAAUUAGUCAGAUAUAUGAAUUUACAUUAAAAAGACGCUGGCUGGGCCGGGCUGGGUGGCUCACACCUGUAAUCCCAGCACUUUGGGAGGCUGAGGUGGGCAGAUCACAAGUUCAAGAGAUCAAGAACAUCCUGGCAAACGUGGUGAAACCCCAUCUCUACCAAAAAUACGAAAAUUAGCUGGGAGUUGUGGUGCGCGCCUGUAGUCCCAGCUACUUGGGAGGCUGAGACAGGAGAAUCGCUUGAACUCACGAGGUGCAGGUUGCAGUGAGCCGAGAUCAUGCCAUUGCACUCCAGCUCAGAGACAGAGUGAGACUCCAUCUCAAAAAAAAAAAAAAAAAAAAAAAAA
Long non-coding RNA from Macaca fascicularis (crab-eating macaque), 1556 nucleotides. Lineage: Eukaryota; Metazoa; Chordata; Mammalia; Primates; Cercopithecidae. The record is from Ensembl.